AUUGAACGCUGGCGGCAUGCCUUACACAUGCAAGUCGAACGGCAGCGCGGACUUCGGUCUGGCGGCGAGUGGCGAACGGGUGAGUAAUACAUCGGAACGUACCCUGUUGUGGGGGAUAACUAGUCGAAAGAUUAGCUAAUACCGCAUACGACCUGAGGGUGAAAGUGGGGGACCGCAAGGCCUCACGCAGCAGGAGCGGCCGAUGUCUGAUUAGCUAGUUGAUGGGGUAAAGGCCCACCAAGGCGCCGAUCAGUAGCUGGUCUGAGAGGACGAUCAUCCACACUGGGACUGAGACACGGCCCAGACUCCUACGGGAGGCAGCAGUGGGGAAUUUUGGACAAUGGGGGCAACCCUGAUCCAGCAAUGCCGCGUGUGUGAAGAAGGCCUUCGGGUUGUAAAGCACUUUUGUCCGGAAAGAAAUCGCGCUGGUUAAUACCUGGCGUGGAUGACGGUACCGGAAGAAUAAGCACCGGCUAACUACGUGCCAGCCGCCGCGGUAA
Molecule: ribosomal RNA, 500 nt
Filed under: uncultured bacterium
Lineage: Bacteria
Description: partial 16S ribosomal RNA
Rfam family: Bacterial small subunit ribosomal RNA
Source: RNAcentral